Thunnus maccoyii (southern bluefin tuna) is the source of this 1262-nucleotide long non-coding RNA. RefSeq lists it as uncharacterized. NCBI's taxonomy places the organism in Eukaryota, Metazoa, Chordata, Actinopteri, Scombriformes, Scombridae. The record is from RefSeq and is a predicted model, not a curated record. The transcript is spliced from 3 exons.
CACCUGAUUGUGGUUUUAAAGUAAAACCGAAAGCUUGAAAAUGCAACAGUAUUGUCAGGAAUAACUGUGCUCUUUCCUGGAUGAACCCUGUUAUUGUGAAAUCUGUGUAAAGGCUUACUCUGGUGACAUCAGCUUCGGAGCAGCCAGCAGCUGGACCAAAUGAUCCAGAACCUUCUGUUGUAAAGUGGAUGGCCUGCAAUGCACAGGAGGAAGAGGUACAGUCCAUCAUCAGCCUCCUCCUGUGUGAGACCACCCCACCGCCCUGCCCUCCCCCCCCCCCCCCCCCCGCCUCCCCUACUCUUCCUCCCUCUCUAGCCGGGAUGUGUCCAUGAAAUAUGUGCAACUUCCCAUUGAAAUUAGAGGGCCCUGAACCAUGAAAGGCACCACAGGUAUUGGCUGUACAGCGUGCAGUGGCAGCACCACUACAUGCCCGGCCUCUGUGUUGUAAAGCUCCGACGGCAGAAAGACACACGACCACUCGUCUGUAACAUAUUAAAACCAAGGGAAAUAAAUUACCCUGGUGCUCUGAUGAAUUAUGAGUUGUGUCUCAGGAGCUGGAAACGCUUCAUAACUUGGAAAUCUUCUUUGGAAUAUGCAGGGAACCCUAUUGCAAUCCUAGCCCUCCCAUUGGGUUGUUGGGGCUCAUCCGGCCGUUUAUUGACUGGUACAGUGCAGCUUGAGUCGGUAGCGUCAAACAUCUUCAUCAAGAGCUAAACACUGGGAUUGUGCAGCUUUCUGGAAUGAUCCAUCUUUUUGAGGGCACCUCUGACAAGUUGGGCAUCCAUCUCCGAAACAUUUAAAGGUGAACAACUUUAUCUCGCGCCACUUUAAAGAACAUCACCUCCGUGCAAUCUCAAGAAGAUUGACGCUGUCAGAAGUGAAACGUUGUUAAGCCAUAUGACUGAUGGGCCACUCACAGGAAAAGUGGAGCGCUUGAUGAGAUAUUAAUCAGGCGGCGGCGGGAGGGGUGGAGCAGCGCCGUCGCACGCGGAUCCUAAAUGCGAGAUGUGAUGGAGAUGUUGGAGAUCUGAGUUGUCUUCGGCAAGGCGGAGCUUGUUGCAGGGGAAUAAUGAAUCGGCCCAUUAGCAUAUUGUCACCAGUUGUCUUGUUUAUUCCGAGGUGUUUGCCAAGCAGCUCUCCCCAAGGAGAAACGGGCGCUUCACAGUAACUUCUGGAGUAAACAGUGAUAUGCUAAUGCGCAUGCAAAUACACACACACACACACACACAUGCCUGCACACCCACGCUGUAUGCUCACAGACA